Anoplophora glabripennis (Asian longhorned beetle) is the source of this 69-nucleotide non-coding RNA. NCBI's taxonomy places the organism in Eukaryota, Metazoa, Arthropoda, Insecta, Coleoptera, Cerambycidae. The record is from the annotation of a RefSeq genome assembly.
AAAAAGAUAAGCUAAGUAAGCUAUUGGGUUCAUACCCCAUUUAUGAAAGCUUUAAUCUUUCUCUUUUUA